This 333-nucleotide ribosomal RNA is filed under the name uncultured bacterium. Its description in RNAcentral is "partial 16S ribosomal RNA". It matches the Rfam family "Bacterial small subunit ribosomal RNA", at positions 338 to 688 of the family's 1533-position model. The record is from RNAcentral.
CCUACGGGAGGCAGCAGUAGGGAAUAUUGCUCAAUGGGGGAAACCCUGAAGCAGCAACGCCGCGUGGAGGAUGAAGGUUUUCGGAUUGUAAACUCCUUUUGUUAGAGAAGAUAAUGACGGUAUCUAACGAAUAAGCACCGGCUAAACCCGUGCAAGCAGCCGCGGUAAUACGGAGGGUGCAAGCGUUACUCGGAAUCAGUGGGCGUAAAGAGCGCGUAGGAGGGAAAGCAAGUCAUAUGUGAAAUCCUAUGGCUUAACAUUAGAAUGCAUUUUGAAACUGUUAUUCUAGGUUAUGGGAGAGUUAGGUGGAAUUCUUGGUGUAGGGUUAAAAAC